UUUCCGUAGGUGAACCUGCGGAAGGAUCAUUAUUGUAUAACCGAGGGCCGAAGUCUAUCGCUUACCCGAAAGGGCGUGCGCGCCCGAGUGCCCUCACACACAUCCAUCUCACCCCUCUGUGCUGCACCGCGUGGGUCCCCCUUUGGCUUGUUCGGAGGUGGGCUUACGCUUUCACACAAACUUUGUAUGAAGUGUAGAAUGUAUUUUUUGUUUUUGCGAUCACGCAAUCAAUACAACUUUCAACAACGGAUCUCUUGGCUCUC
This 263-nucleotide unclassified non-coding RNA is filed under the name plant metagenome. Its description in RNAcentral is "partial contains small subunit ribosomal RNA, internal transcribed spacer 1, and 5.8S ribosomal RNA". The record is from RNAcentral.